UGGGGAAUAUUGGACAAUGGGGGGAACCCUGAUCCAGCCAUGCCGCGUGUGUGAAGAAGGCCUUAUGGUUGUAAAGCACUUUAAGCGAGGAGGAGGGUACUGGUAUUAAUACUACCAGGUACUGGACGUUACUCGCAGAAUAAGCACCGGCUAACUCUGUGCCAGCAGCCGCGGUAAUACAGAGGGUGCGAGCGUUAAUCGGAUUUACUGGGCGUAAAGCGUGCGUAGGCGGCUAAUUGAGUCGGAUGUGAAAUCCCCGAGCUUAACUUGGGAAUUGCAUUCGAUACUGGUUAGCUAGAGUGUGGAAGAGGAUGGUAGAAUUCCAGGUGUGGCGGUGAAAUGCGUAUAGAUCUGGAGGAAUACCGAUGGCGAAGGCAGCCAUCUGGCCUAACACUGACGCUGAGGUACGAAAGCAUGGGGAGCAAACAGG
Molecule: ribosomal RNA, 430 nt
Filed under: Pseudomonadota bacterium
Lineage: Bacteria; Pseudomonadati; Pseudomonadota
Description: Proteobacteria bacterium partial 16S ribosomal RNA
Rfam family: Bacterial small subunit ribosomal RNA
Source: RNAcentral